UACGAAGGGGGCUAGCGUUGCUCGGAAUCACUGGGCGUAAAGGGUGCGUAGGCGGGUCUUUAAGUCAGGGGUGAAAUCCUGGAGCUCAACUCAAGAACUGCCUUUGAUACUGAGGAUCUUGAGUUCGGGAGAGGUGAGUGGAACUGCGAGUGUAGAGGUGAAGUUCGUAGAUAUUCGCAAGAACACCAGUGGCGAAGGCGGCUCACUGGCCCGGUACUGACGCUGAGGUGCGAAAGCGUGGGGAGCAAACAGG
RNAcentral lists this ribosomal RNA (253 nucleotides) under uncultured bacterium. Its description in RNAcentral is "partial 16S ribosomal RNA". It matches the Rfam family "Bacterial small subunit ribosomal RNA", at positions 524 to 776 of the family's 1533-position model. The record is from RNAcentral.